This 345-nucleotide long non-coding RNA is filed under the name Fukomys damarensis (Damara mole-rat). Its description in RNAcentral is "lncRNA (ENSFDAG00000024633.1)". The record is from RNAcentral. Lineage: Eukaryota; Metazoa; Chordata; Mammalia; Rodentia; Bathyergidae.
CCCGCGCCGGGUCCGCCCUGACUUGACGAGGCCCGGUGGAGAUGGUUCCGGUACUCUUGAGCUGGUGACCCCGGCGGCCCAGAGCAGCUGGGGGAGGGGAGGAGGUUCCGUGCGGCGCUGCCAGCGCGCCGGCGCCGCUAUCUUCCAGCUUGGUGUGAGGGCACGGGCACGUGGUUGGAAGAAGGUGUCCUUGGAGUUGUUGUGGCCAAGUGGAAGACAGCCUGCCUGAGACUGAAGAGGAAAGAGCAGAGCCAAGAGGUGGAGAGGGAGCAAGUCUGAAGAAGUAAGUCCCCAACUUAUGAAUUAGUUCCAUUCUGGGAGAAUAUUCAUAGUUUGAAUUCAUUU